GUGGGGAAUAUUGGACAAUGGGCGAAAGCCUGAUCCAGCCAUGCCGCGUGAGUGAUGAAGGCCUUAGGGUUGUAAUGCUCUUUUAGCGGGGAAGAUAAUGACGGUACCCGCAGAAUAAGCCCCGGCUAACUUCGUGCCAGCAGCCGCGGUAAUACGAAGGGGGCUAGCGUUGUUCGGAAUUACUGGGCGUAAAGCGCACGUAGGCGGAUUGGCAAGUCAGGGGUGAAAUCCCGGGGCUCAACCUCGGAACUGCCUUUGAUACUGCCAGUCUAGAGUCCGGAAGAGGUGGGUGGAAUUCCUAGUGUAGAGGUGAAAUUCGCAGAUAUUAGGAAGAACACCGGUGGCGAAGGCGGCCCACUGGUCCGGAACUGACGCUGAGGUGCGAAAGCGUGGGGAGCAAACAGGAUUAGAUACCCCUGUAGUCC
This 425-nucleotide ribosomal RNA is filed under the name uncultured bacterium. RNAcentral's name for it is "bacterial SSU rRNA". It matches the Rfam family "Bacterial small subunit ribosomal RNA", at positions 354 to 796 of the family's 1533-position model. The record is from RNAcentral.